This 253-nucleotide ribosomal RNA is filed under the name uncultured bacterium. RNAcentral describes it as "partial 16S ribosomal RNA". It matches the Rfam family "Bacterial small subunit ribosomal RNA", at positions 524 to 776 of the family's 1533-position model. The record is from RNAcentral.
UACGUAGGGUGCAAGCGUUAAUCGGAAUUACUGGGCGUAAAGCGUGCGCAGGCGGUUAUGUAAGACAGGUGUGAAAUCCCAGGGCUUAACCUUGGAACUGCAUUUGUGACUGCAUAGCUAGAGUACGGUAGAGGGGGAUGGAAUUCCGCGUGUAGCAGUGAAAUGCGUAGAUAUGCGGAGGAACACCGAUGGCGAAGGCAAUCCCCUGGACCUGUACUGACGCCCAUGCACGAAAGCGUGGGGAGCAAACAGG